Molecule: ribosomal RNA, 987 nt
Filed under: Triticum aestivum (bread wheat)
Lineage: Eukaryota; Viridiplantae; Streptophyta; Magnoliopsida; Poales; Poaceae
Description: partial small subunit ribosomal RNA
Source: RNAcentral
AUGGACUCACUUGAGUGUCUCGGCGUGGAUGGCCACUUCCGCGAAGAGAUUGAAUCGGCCAUAAGCCGGAUCGUUCACCCGGAUGAGUCCGCUGGUUCUGAUGACCUUCAUGUUGUCGCGACUCGGUUUCGGUUGCUUCGGCAGCAUGGGAUAUGGGUGUCCACAGAUGCCUUGGACAACUUUAGAGAUGGCAUGGGCAACUUCAAGGCAAGCCUGAGCAGUGACCCGAGGGCUCUACUAAGCUUGUACAACGCAGCUCACAUGGCGGUACCGGGUGAUGGCCCGGCCCUCGACGAUGUCAUCAACUUCACACGACACCAGCUCGAGGCCAUUGCAGCAAAAGGUGAGCUCCGGUCGCCGUUGGCGGAGCAGGUCGCCCGCGCCCUCGACCACCCUCUCCCGCGGUUCACCAGGCUGCUAGAGACCAUGUAUUACGUAGGUGAGUAUGCGCGGGAGGAGACGCACGACAAUACGCUGCUAGAGCUUGCUAGGUUCAACUCUCACCUCAUGAGGUCUCUUCACCUCAGGGAGCUAAAGGCACUGUCCUUGUGGUGGAGGGAUCUUUACGACACGGUGAAUCUACCGUACACUCGAGAACGUAUGGUGGAGGUCUACUUUUGGAGUUGUGGAAUGAUCCCUGAGGAGGAACACUCACGCGCACGAUUGAUGUUCGCCAAGACGUUUGGGUUGGUGACUUUUCUUGACGAUACCUAUGAUGUCCAUGCCACCUUAGAGGAAUGUCACAGUUUCACCGAAGCCAUGCAGAGAUGGGACGAUAGCGCGGUUUCUAUUCUACCUGAAUACCUUCGCAUGCCAUACAUCAAAACGCUAAGCAACUUCAAAGAUUUUGAGAAUAUGUUGAAACCGCACGAGAAGUACCGCAUGUCUUAUGCAAGAAAGGUGUACCAGCUGCAGGCGGAAUAUUAUAUGCAAGAGGCCCAAUGGUCCAACGACAAGCAUCGGCCGACCUUCAAGGAACACGAGUAG